This 216-nucleotide ribosomal RNA is filed under the name uncultured bacterium. Its description in RNAcentral is "partial 16S ribosomal RNA". It matches the Rfam family "Bacterial small subunit ribosomal RNA", at positions 328 to 539 of the family's 1533-position model. The record is from RNAcentral.
ACGCUCGACACCUACGGGAGCAGCAGUGAGGAAUAUUGGUCAAUGGGCGCUAGCCUGAACCAGCCAAGUAGCGUGAAGGAUGAAGGCUCUAUGGGUCGUAAACUUCUUUUAUAUAAGAAUAAAGUGCAGUAUGUAUACUGUUUUGUAUGUAUUAUAUGAAUAAGGAUCGGCUAACUCCGUGCCAACAGCCGCGUAAUCUGAGCGGGCUGGCAAGGC